This 428-nucleotide ribosomal RNA is filed under the name uncultured organism. RNAcentral describes it as "bacterial SSU rRNA". It matches the Rfam family "Bacterial small subunit ribosomal RNA", at positions 355 to 775 of the family's 1533-position model. The record is from RNAcentral.
UGGGGAAUUUUCGACAAUGGGGGGAACCCUGAUCGAGCCAUCCCGCGUGUGGGACGAAGGCCUUCGGGUUGUAAACCACUUUUCUCAGCGAAGAAAAGCGUUGGACUAAUACUCCAACGUGCUGACGGUAGCUGAGGAAUAAGCACCGGCUAACUAUGUGCCAGCAGCCGCGGUAAUACAUAGGGUGCAAGCGUUAAUCGGAAUUACUGGGCGUAAAGGGUGCGCAGGCGGCUAAGCAAGAACGGUGUGAAAUCCCGGGGCUCAACCUCGGAACUGCACUAUUAACUGCUUAGCUAGAGUAUGUCAGAGGGGGGUGGAAUUCCGCGUGUAGCAGUGAAAUGCGUAGAUAUGCGGAGGAACACCGAUGGCGAAGGCAGCCCCCUGGGAUAGUACUGACGCUCAGGCACGAAAGCGUGGGUAGCAAACAG